Molecule: ribosomal RNA, 253 nt
Filed under: uncultured bacterium
Lineage: Bacteria
Description: partial 16S ribosomal RNA
Rfam family: Bacterial small subunit ribosomal RNA
Source: RNAcentral
UACAGAGGUCUCAAGCGUUGUUCGGAUUCAUUGGGCGUAAAGGGUGCGUAGGCGGCGCGGUAAGUCGGGUGUGAAAUCUCGGAGCUUAACUCCGAAGCUGCAUUCGAUACUGGCGUGCUUGAGGACUGGAGAGGAGACUGGAAUUCAUGGUGUAGCAGUGAAAUGCGUAGAGAUCAUGAGGAAGACCAGUGGCGAAGGCGGGUCUCUGGACAGUUCCUGACACUGAGACACGAAGGCCAGGGGAGCAAACGGG